This 72-nucleotide transfer RNA is filed under the name Marmota monax (woodchuck). It matches the Rfam family "tRNA". Rfam says of the family: Transfer RNA (tRNA) molecules are approximately 80 nucleotides in length. Their secondary structure includes four short double-helical elements and three loops (D, anti-codon, and T loops). Lineage: Eukaryota; Metazoa; Chordata; Mammalia; Rodentia; Sciuridae. RNAcentral also lists the same sequence under 1 other name. The record is from Rfam by way of RNAcentral.
UGGGUUGUGGCUCAGUGGUAGAGCGCUCACCUAGCAUGUGCGAGGCCCUGGGUUCGAUCCUCAGCACCAUAU